GAUGAACGCUGGCGGCGUGCCUAAUACAUGCAAGUCGAGCGAACGGACGAGAAGCUUGCUUCUCUGAUGUUAGCGGCGGACGGGUGAGUAACACGUGGAUAACCUACCUAUAAGACUGGGAUAACUUCGGGAAACCGGAGCUAAUACCGGAUAAUAUUUUGAACCGCAUGGUUCAAAAGUGAAAGACGGUCUUGCUGUCACUUAUAGAUGGAUCCGCGCUGCAUUAGCUAGUUGGUAAGGUAACGGCUUACCAAGGCAACGAUGCAUAGCCGACCUGAGAGGGUGAUCGGCCACACUGGAACUGAGACACGGUCCAGACUCCUACGGGAGGCAGCAGUAGGGAAUCUUCCGCAAUGGGCGAAAGCCUGACGGAGCAACGCCGCGUGAGUGAUGAAGGUCUUCGGAUCGUAAAACUCUGUUAUUAGGGAAGAACAUAUGUGUAAGUAACUGUGCACAUCUUGACGGUACCUAAUCAGAAAGCCACGGCUAACUACGUGCCAGCAGCCGCGGUAAUACGUAGGUGGCAAGCGUUAUCCGGAAUUAUUGGGCGUAAAGCGCGCGUAGGCGGUUUUUUAAGUCUGACGUGAAAGCCCACGGCUCAACCGUGGAGGGUCAUUGGAAACUGGAAAACUUGAGUGCAGAAGAGGAAAGUGGAAUUCCAUGUGUAGCGGUGAAAUGCGCAGAGAUAUGGAGGAACACCAGUGGCGAAGGCGACUUUCUGGUCUGUAACUGACGCUGAUGUGCGAAAGCGUGGGGAUCAAACAGGAUUAGAUACCCUGGUAGUCCACGCCGUAAACGAUGAGUGCUAAGUGUUAGGGGGUUUCCGCCCCUUAGUGCUGCAGCUAACGCAUUAAGCACUCCGCCUGGGGAGUACGACCGCAAGGUUGAAACUCAAAGGAAUUGACGGGGACCCGCACAAGCGGUGGAGCAUGUGGUUUAAUUCGAAGCAACGCGAAGAACCUUACCAAAUCUUGACAUCCUUUGACAACUCUAGAGAUAGAGUUUUCCCCUUCGGGGGACAAAGUGACAGGUGGUGCAUGGUUGUCGUCAGCUCGUGUCGUGAGAUGUUGGGUUAAGUCCCGCAACGAGCGCAACCCUUAAGCUUAGUUGCCAUCAUUAAGUUGGGCACUCUAAGUUGACUGCCGGUGACAAACCGGAGGAAGGUGGGGAUGACGUCAAAUCAUCAUGCCCCUUAUGAUUUGGGCUACACACGUGCUACAAUGGACAAUACAAAGGGCAGCGAAACCGCGAGGUCAAGCAAAUCCCAUAAAGUUGUUCUCAGUUCGGAUUGUAGUCUGCAACUCGACUACAUGAAGCUGGAAUCGCUAGUAAUCGUAGAUCAGCAUGCUACGGUGAAUACGUUCCCGGGUCU
Molecule: ribosomal RNA, 1372 nt
Filed under: uncultured bacterium
Lineage: Bacteria
Description: bacterial SSU rRNA
Rfam family: Bacterial small subunit ribosomal RNA
Source: RNAcentral